UUUAAGCUAAUUUUUUUCUUAUUUCUAAAGCAAAACAAAACCCAAACUCAUUGUAAUCCUCUUUGGAAUUGCAUUACAUGUAUAUGUUCAGUUGUGAAGGCAUGACAUUUUAUGAUAGUAAAUCUUAUUCUGGAACAUGGUAUGUUGCUUCAUUUUAUUCGUGUUUUUUUGAGACGGAGUUUUGCUUUUAUUGCCCAGGCUGGAGUGUAGUGGCGCAAUCUUGGAUCACCACAACCUCCGUCUCCCAGGUUCAAGCGAUUCUCCCGCCUCAGCCUCCUGAGUAGCAAUUACAGGGAGCAUUUCCUGAAGACGUAGUCAUGCAGCACGUCAGCAGCUCCCAGAGCAGCCAGCGCCAUGUCCAGUGGCCUGGGGCCUGCCCCGGCGCGGGCGAGGAGCAGCCAGCGUGCUCCCAGCCGUCCCUGCCCCUCACACUGCCAUCCCCCAGCCACCAACUACAGCAGCUGAUGCAGGUCCAGACCCAGAGUCCCACGCAGCCCAGUCCGGGGCCGGGGCAGGCCUUGCAGAAUGUGCGUGCAGGUGCCCCUGGCCCUGGGCUGGGCCUCUGCAGCAGCAGCCCUACAGGGGACUUCGUGGAUGCCAGCGUGCUGGUGAGGCAGAUCAGCUUGAGCCCCUCCAGUGGUGGACACUUUGUGUUUCAGGAUGGGUCAGGGCUCACCCAGAUCGCCCAGGGAGCCCAGGUUCAGCUCCAGCACCCGGGUACGCCCAUCACAGUCCGAGAGCGGAGACCCUCCCAGCCCCACACACAGUCAGGGGGCACCAUCCACCACCUGGGACCCCAGAGCCCUGCAGCCGCGGGUGGGGCCGGCCUGCAGCCCCUGGCCAGCCCAAGCCACAUCACCACGGCUAACUUGCCACCGCAGAUCAGCAGCAUCAUCCAGGGCCAGCUGGUUCAGCAGCAGCAGGUGCUGCAGGGGCCGCCGCUGCCCCGGCCCCUGGGCUUCGAGAGGACGCCCGGCGUGCUGCUCCCCGGGGCUGGGGGCGCAGCGGGGUUUGGGAUGACGUCCCCACCCCCGCCCACCAGCCCUUCCAGGACUGCCGUGCCCCCAGGCCUUUCCAGCCUCCCACUCACGUCUGUGGGGAACACGGGAAUGAAGAAGGUUCCCAAGAAGUUAGAGGAGAUUCCCCCAGCCUCUCCGGAGAUGGCACAGAUGAGGAAGCAGUGCCUGGACUAUCAUCACCAGGAGAUGCAGGCUCUGAAGGAGGUCUUCAAGGAGUAUUUGAUUGAACUGUUUUUCUUGCAACACUUUCAAGGGAACAUGAUGGAUUUCUUAGCUUUCAAGGAGAGACUGUAUGGACCAUUACAAGCAUAUCUUAGGCAGAAUGAUUUGGACAUUGAAGAAGAGGAAGAGGAGCACUUUGAAGUCAUUAAUGAUGAGGUAAAGGUUGUGGCCAGAAAGCACGGGCAGCCUGGGACUCCUGUUGCCAUAGCAACCCAGCUACCGCCGAGGACUUCUGCGGCUUUUCCAGCCCAGCAGCAGCCGCUCCAGCCCCUGGCACCCACCACUGUACUGUCUGUCUCUGCGGAUUGGAAUGCACUUCUCCAGCGACCUAACAAAUACAUAUGGGGACUCCAGUACCUGGAGAUGUGAAUUCCAUAAAAAUGGAAGCAUCUAAGAGGCAGUGAACACUGGCGCCCACAGGAGAACCAGGUGCAUCAGCGCAUUGCGGAGCUGAGGAAAGCAGGUCUGUGGUCCCAGAGGCGUCUGCUGAAGCUGCAGGAGGCCCACGACCCAAGUCCCACUGGGACUAUCUGCUGGAGGAGAUGCAGUGGAUGGCCACAGACUUUGCCCAGGAGAGGUGGAAGGUGGCCUCUGUGAAGAAGAUGGUCAGAGCUGUGGCCCGGCAGCUGCAGGACAGGACGCGCAGGGAGGCCGGGGCCAGGAGGGAGGAGCCGAGCAGGCUGAGGCAGACGUCACCUGUACUACCAGAGAAAUCGAGCGUCCCUGGUCUAGUACUGCGCAGGUAAAGAUUCCAGCAUCUUGGAAGCAAGUGCUCCACUGGAAAAUAAAAGCCACGUGGAGCACUUGAUUAGACUCCAGAAACAGAAACUGCAGCUGCUCCCACCACCCCCACCACCACAGGCCCUGCCCGGGGCACAGCCAACCACACAAGUGCAAGUGCAGCCGUCACCCGCCUACCACAGCAGAGCCCCCAGCUCACCACAGUCACGGCCCCGAGACCCAGAGCCCUGUUGAUGGGCACCACCAUGGCCAACCUCCAGGUAGCCCGGCUUACUCGAGUUUCCACCUCCCACCUGCAAGGCCCAAGACUGACGUCAGCGCUGACGUACCAGAUGGCCCAGGUUGCUGUGGCCACGCCCCCUGUGGUGUCUGUCCUGGCAGUUGUGGUGCUGUCAGCCAGGGUCACAGUGCUUCCAUCAACGCAACGGGAUCAGUGUUGUGAUAAGGCAGCUGCAAAAAGCGGCAGGUAGGCAGCCACCUUCGCCUCACCAAACUCGAAACAACUCACUUGAGUGAGUUGCAUCAAACCUUUCUAAAUUUCUCAUUCUAGAAGUUGCUGAGUUGUUCUGCCAUGUGUUAACUUUUUUUUCUUAUCAGUAAAAUCUUUUAUUUGGUUUAUAUUUCAAAUGUAAUUUAAAAAGUCUAUAAGACAGGAAAUUCGAUAAUAUGAAAGCAGGGAGAAACUAAGUCGCACCAUUUAGCUAAGCUCAGGGACAACGUUCAUUUAUAAUAAAUCAAACAUUUGAUUUUUUUCAUGCC
Long non-coding RNA from Homo sapiens (human), 2741 nucleotides. Lineage: Eukaryota; Metazoa; Chordata; Mammalia; Primates; Hominidae. The record is from Ensembl.